Molecule: ribosomal RNA, 311 nt
Filed under: uncultured eukaryote
Lineage: Eukaryota
Description: partial 18S ribosomal RNA
Rfam family: Eukaryotic small subunit ribosomal RNA
Source: RNAcentral
CCCCUAGACGUUCUGGGCUGCACGCGCGCUACAAUAAUACGCACAGCGAGUAUCACCGAGCUCGAAAGGGCAAGGUAAACAAUAGAAAAGGUACUGUAAUGGUUAUAGAUCCUUGUAAUUAUUGACCUUCAACGAGGAGUUCCUAGUAAGUAUGUGUCAUCAUCACGCACUGAUUACGUCCCUGCCCUUUGCACACACCGCCCGUCGCUCCUACCGAUUGGGUGAGCCGAUGAAACUCUCGGAUGUAGGCUAUUCAUAGCCCGCAGAAGAGAUUUGAAUCGUAGCGCUUAGAGGAAGGAGAAGUCGUAACA